Molecule: long non-coding RNA, 486 nt
Organism: Triticum aestivum (bread wheat)
Lineage: Eukaryota; Viridiplantae; Streptophyta; Magnoliopsida; Poales; Poaceae
Exons: 4
Source: RefSeq, a predicted model, not a curated record
AGGUGCUUCGAGGCAUCGACCUGGAGAUCCGCAGCGGCAAGCUGGCCGCGGUGGUCGGCAUGGUCGGGUCCGGCAAGUCGUCGCUGCUCGGCUGCAUCCUCGAUGGGAUGCGCAAGGUCUCCGGUAAGGCUACAGAAAGGUUGGAAGUAGCCUACCCAACAAUAAAGGAGCUGGCUCUUGUUAGUGCUCUAAGGCUGUGAAGCAAGCAUCGCAAUAGCUUUUGUCGUUGGCUGUGAAGGCAAUUCAAGAAAAUAAUGCAAAGCUUGACAAGGAGGCAACUGAUGUGUUCAGUUGGUGCCUGACUCAGAGUCCAAAGUCCUACAAGCUGUGGGACAAGCUUCAUGCAGAGAAUACCCAAGCUACAAUUUACUCCAAUUCACAUGUUUUGAAUUCUUCAAUCUUGAAUUGUUUAAUGACGAUAGCUAUCUUGCACCGUACUAUAAAAUCAUGGAUGGGCAACUAGCUGAUUGUCAGUCAUGGAAAUUC